RNAcentral lists this transfer RNA (71 nucleotides) under Paramuricea clavata. It matches the Rfam family "tRNA". From Rfam's summary of the family: Transfer RNA (tRNA) molecules are approximately 80 nucleotides in length. Their secondary structure includes four short double-helical elements and three loops (D, anti-codon, and T loops). Further hydrogen bonds mediate the characteristic L-shaped molecular structure. tRNAs have two regions of fundamental functional importance: the anti-codon, which is responsible for specific mRNA codon recognition, and the 3' end, to which the tRNAs corresponding amino acid is attached (by aminoacyl-tRNA synthetases). tRNAs cope with the degeneracy of the genetic code in two manners: having more than one tRNA (with a specific anti-codon) for a particular amino acid; and 'wobble' base-pairing, i.e. permitting non-standard base-pairing at the 3rd anti-codon position. Lineage: Eukaryota; Metazoa; Cnidaria; Anthozoa; Malacalcyonacea; Plexauridae. The record is from Rfam by way of RNAcentral.
GCCUUGGUGGCCGAAUGGUAUGGCAUUAGGGUUUGUCCCAAAAUAAGAGGGUUAGAGUCCCUCACAUGGCG